UACGAAGGGUGCAAACGUUGCUCGGAAUUAUUGGGCGUAAAGCGCACGUAGGCGGCUUUGCAAGUCGGAUGUGAAAUCCCUCGGCUCAACCAAGGAAGUGCAUCCGAAACUGCAGAGCUUGAGUACGAAAGAGGAUCGCGGAAUUCCCGGUGUAGAGGUGAAAUGCGUAGAGAUGUGGAGGAAUACCGAUGGCGAAGGCAGCCCCCUGGGAUAACACUGACGCUCAUGCACGAAAGCGUGGGGAGCAAACAGG
Molecule: ribosomal RNA, 253 nt
Filed under: uncultured bacterium
Lineage: Bacteria
Description: partial 16S ribosomal RNA
Rfam family: Bacterial small subunit ribosomal RNA
Source: RNAcentral